This 300-nucleotide ribosomal RNA is filed under the name uncultured Acidianus sp. RNAcentral's name for it is "bacterial SSU rRNA". The stretch from base 52 to 300 matches the Rfam family "Bacterial small subunit ribosomal RNA", at positions 547 to 795 of the family's 1533-position model. Lineage: Archaea; Thermoproteati; Thermoproteota; Thermoprotei; Sulfolobales; Sulfolobaceae. The record is from RNAcentral.
GUGACAUGAGGUGCAGCGGCAGGGGGAGUAGGGAGGGGGCAAGGGUGGGCCGGAGUUACUGGGUGGGAAGGGCGCGUAUGUGGAUUAGGAAGUAAUGGGUUAAAGCGUGCGGCUGAACUGCAUUGAUGCCAGUGAUACUGUUAGUCUAGAGUUCAGUAGGGAGAGUUGGAAUUGCUGGUGUAGUAGUGAGAUACGCAGAUAUCAGGAAGAAUACCGGAGGCGAAGGCGAGCUCUUGGGCUGAUACUGACGCUGAGGCGCGAAAGUGUGGGGAUCAAACAGGAUUAGAUACCCGAGUAGUC